UACAGAGGGGGUUAGCGUUGUUCGGAAUUACUGGGCGUAAAGCGCGCGUAGGCGGACCAGAAAGUUGGGGGUGAAAUCCCGGGGCUCAACCCCGGAACGGCCUCCAAAACUCCUGGUCUUGAGUUCGAGAGAGGUGAGUGGAAUUCCGAGUGUAGAGGUGAAAUUCGUAGAUAUUCGGAGGAACACCAGUGGCGAAGGCGGCUCACUGGCUCGAUACUGACGCUGAGGUGCGAAAGUGCGGGGAGCAAACAGG
This 253-nucleotide ribosomal RNA is filed under the name uncultured bacterium. RNAcentral's name for it is "partial 16S ribosomal RNA". It matches the Rfam family "Bacterial small subunit ribosomal RNA", at positions 524 to 776 of the family's 1533-position model. The record is from RNAcentral.